RNAcentral lists this unclassified non-coding RNA (222 nucleotides) under plant metagenome. RNAcentral describes it as "partial contains small subunit ribosomal RNA and internal transcribed spacer 1". The stretch from base 1 to 46 matches the Rfam family "Eukaryotic small subunit ribosomal RNA", at positions 1786 to 1831 of the family's 1831-position model. The record is from RNAcentral.
AAGUCGUAACAAGGUUUCCGUAGGUGAACCUGCGGAAGGAUCAUUAUCAAUAUUAUAACGGCCCCGGACGCAAGUUUGGGGACGGCAUAAUUACCGUGUUUAACAUACCUUUGUUGCUUUGGCGGGGCGCCUUUCGGCCAGCGGCUUCGGUCGCUGCGUCCCCGCCAGAGGACCACAACUCUUGCUCUUUAGUGAUGUCUGAGUACUAUAUAAUAGUUAAAA